CGUGGGCAAUCUGCCCUGCACUCUGGGACAAGCCCUGGAAACGGGGUCUAAUACCGGAUAUGAGUCUCCAUCGCAUGGUGGGGGCUGUAAAGCUCCGGCGGUGCAGGAUGAGCCCGCGGCCUAUCAGCUUGUUGGUGAGGUAACGGCUCACCAAGGCGACGACGGGUAGCCGGCCUGAGAGGGCGACCGGCCACACUGGGACUGAGACACGGCCCAGACUCCUACGGGAGGCAGCAGUGGGGAAUAUUGCACAAUGGGCGAAAGCCUGAUGCAGCGACGCCGCGUGAGGGAUGACGGCCUUCGGGUUGUAAACCUCUUUCAGCAGGGAAGAAGCGCAAGUGACGGUACCUGCAGAAGAAGCGCCGGCUAACUACGUGCCAGCAGCCGCGGUAAUACGUAGGGCGCAAGCGUUGUCCGGAAUUAUUGGGCGUAAAGAGCUCGUAGGCGGCUUGUCGCGUCGGUUGUGAAAGCCCGGGGCUUAACCCCGGGUCUGCAGUCGAUACGGGCA
RNAcentral lists this ribosomal RNA (508 nucleotides) under Streptomyces sp. SCAU5126. RNAcentral's name for it is "bacterial SSU rRNA". It matches the Rfam family "Bacterial small subunit ribosomal RNA", at positions 116 to 638 of the family's 1533-position model. Lineage: Bacteria; Bacillati; Actinomycetota; Actinomycetes; Kitasatosporales; Streptomycetaceae. The record is from RNAcentral.